RNAcentral lists this ribosomal RNA (658 nucleotides) under uncultured Actinomycetales bacterium. RNAcentral describes it as "bacterial SSU rRNA". It matches the Rfam family "Bacterial small subunit ribosomal RNA", at positions 62 to 732 of the family's 1533-position model. Lineage: Bacteria; Bacillati; Actinomycetota; Actinomycetes; Actinomycetales. The record is from RNAcentral.
UCGAACGGAAAGGCCCUGCUUGCAGGGUACUCGAGUGGCGAACGGGUGAGUAACACGUGGGUGAUCUGCCCUGCACUUCGGGAUAAGCUUGGGAAACUGGGUCUAAUACCGGAUAGGAGCCAUCUUUAGUGUGGUGGUUGGAAAGUUUUUUCGGUGUAGGAUGAGCUCGCGGCCUAUCAGCUUGUUGGUGGGGUAAUGGCCUACCAAGGCGGCGACGGGUAGCCGGCCUGAGAGGGUGUACGGCCACAUUGGGACUGAGAUACGGCCCAGACUCCUACGGGAGGCAGCAGUGGGGAAUAUUGCACAAUGGGCGCAAGCCUGAUGCAGCGACGCCGCGUGGGGGAUGAAGGCCUUCGGGUUGUAAACUCCUUUCGCUAGGGACGAAGCUUUGUUGUGACGGUACCUAGAUAAGAAGCACCGGCUAACUACGUGCCAGCAGCCGCGGUAAUACGUAGGGUGCGAGCGUUGUCCGGAAUUACUGGGCGUAAAGGGCUCGUAGGUGGUUUGUCGCGUCGUCUGUGAAAUUCUGGGGCUUAACUCCGGGCGUGCAGGCGAUACGGGCAUAACUUGAGUGCUGUAGGGGUAACUGGAAUUCCUGGUGUAGCGGUGAAAUGCGCAGAUAUCAGGAGGAACACCGAUGGCGAAGGCAGGUCACUGG